GGCGGCACGCCUAACACAUGCAAGUCGAACGAAGUAGCAAUACUUAGUGGCAGACGGGUGAGUAACAUGUGGGUAUCUGCCCUUUGGCCUGGAAUAACACGAGGAAACUUGUGCUAAUACCGGAUAAGUCUUUACGGAGAAAGCUUUAUGCACCAUUGGAUGAGCCCGCACUUGAUUAGUUUGUUGGUGGGGUAAUGGCCUACCAAGACUGUGAUCAAUAGCUGAUUUGAGAGGAUGAUCAGCCACAUUGGGACUGAGACACGGCCCAAACUCCUACGGGAGGCAGCAGUGGGGAAUCUUGCACAAUGGAGGAAACUCUGAUGCAGCGAUGCCGCGUGAGUGAAGAAGGCCCUUGGGUUGUAAAGCUCUUUCGUCGGGGAAGAAAAUGACUGUACCCGAAUAAGAAGGUCCGGCUAACUUCGUGCCAGCAGCCGCGGUAAUACGAAGGGACCUAGCGUAGUUCGGAAUUACUGGGCUUAAAGAGUUCGUAGGUGGUUGAAAAAGUUGGUGGUGAAAUCCCAGAGCUUAACUCUGGAACUGCCAUCAAAACUUUUCAGCUAGAGUUUGAUAGAGGAAAGCAGAAUUUCUAGUGUAGAGGUGAAAUUCGUAGAUAUUAGAAAGAAUACCAAUUGCGAAGGCAGCUUUCUGGAUCAUUACUGACACUGAGGAACGAAAGCAUGGGUAGCGAAGAGGAUUAGAUACCCUCGUAGUCCAUGCUGUAAACGAUGUGUGUUAGACGUUGGAAAUUUAUUUUCAGUGUCGCAGCGAAAGCGAUAAACACACCGCCUGGGGAGUACGACCGCAAGGUUAAAACUCAAAUGAAUUGACGGGGACCCGCACAAGUAGUGGAGCAUGUGGUUCAAUUCGAUGCAACGCGAAGAACCUUACCAGGGUUUGACAUCCUGCGAAUCUCUUGGAAGCAGGAGAGUGCCUUCGGGAACGCAGUGACAGGUGGUGCAUGGCUGUCGUCAGCUCGUGUCGUGAGAUGUUGGGUUAAGUCCCGCAACGAGCGCAACCCACGUCUUUAGUUGCCAGCAUUUAGUUGGGCACUCUAGAGAGACUGCCGGUGAUAAACCGGAGGAAGGUGUGGAUGACGUCAAGUCAUCAUGCCCCUUACAUCCUGGGCUACACACGUACUACAAUGCUACGGACAAAGGGCUGCAAGUUCGCGAGGACAAGCAAAUCCCAUAAACCGUGGCUCAGUUCAGAUCGUAGGCUGCAACUCGCCUACGUGAAGGCGGAAUCGCUAGUAAUCGCAGGUCAGCAUACUGCGGUGAAUACGUUCCCGGGCCUUGUACACACCGCCCGUCAC
Molecule: ribosomal RNA, 1312 nt
Filed under: uncultured bacterium
Lineage: Bacteria
Description: partial 16S ribosomal RNA
Rfam family: Bacterial small subunit ribosomal RNA
Source: RNAcentral